RNAcentral lists this ribosomal RNA (362 nucleotides) under Escherichia coli. RNAcentral describes it as "bacterial SSU rRNA". It matches the Rfam family "Bacterial small subunit ribosomal RNA", at positions 1050 to 1412 of the family's 1533-position model. The record is from RNAcentral. Lineage: Bacteria; Pseudomonadati; Pseudomonadota; Gammaproteobacteria; Enterobacterales; Enterobacteriaceae. RNAcentral also lists the same sequence under 3 other names.
UGUCGUCAGCUCGUGUUGUGAAAUGUUGGGUUAAGUCCCGCAACGAGCGCAACCCUUAUCCUUUGUUGCCAGCGGUCCGGCCGGGAACUCAAAGGAGACUGCCAGUGAUAAACUGGAGGAAGGUGGGGAUGACGUCAAGUCAUCAUGGCCCUUACGACCAGGGCUACACACGUGCUACAAUGGCGCAUACAAAGAGAAGCGACCUCGCGAGAGCAAGCGGACCUCAUAAAGUGCGUCGUAGUCCGGAUUGGAGUCUGCAACUCGACUCCAUGAAGUCGGAAUCGCUAGUAAUCGUGGAUCAGAAUGCCACGGUGAAUACGUUCCCGGGCCUUGUACACACCGCCCGUCACACCAUGGGAGUG